AAUUCUUAAUUGUAGGUCUUCUGAGAGCUCUUUUGUGCGAGGCAUCAUUCACAUCAGGCAAUGCUUCUUGUGAAAAGCAAACCCAGAACUGGUGUGUGUUUUUUAUAGGGCAGGGCAGCUGUAACCAACACCUCCAAUCUCAUCUCAUUGAUUGGACUCCAGUUGGCUGACAUCUCACUCCAAUUAGCUCUUGGAGAUGUCAUUAGUCUAGGGGUUCACAUACUUUUUCCACCUGCACUGUGAAUGUUUACAUGGUGUGUUC
This is a non-coding RNA of Pelobates cultripes (western spadefoot toad), 262 nucleotides long. Lineage: Eukaryota; Metazoa; Chordata; Amphibia; Anura; Pelobatidae. The record is from the annotation of a GenBank genome assembly.